AAUGCCCUUUGGAAAGGGCUCUUAGCUUUUGGGAUGAGGUGGUGUUUGAAGGUGCCCAUCUGGACCUGCAGGGUGAAUCAGCUUCUGGAUGGCAGCAAGGCUGAGUGUGAAGGAAACCAGCACUUGGGCCACUGCAGGGAGAGCUGGGGGCUCCAAUCACAGCAGCUGGACUUGGCUGAGCACGAGAGCAGGAGGGGGAACAGAAAAUGCAAUCUGCAGAAAGCAACAGCCCAAUGACCUUGAGGUGCACAAAAAAGGCGCAAGGGGAGGCAAAAACAGCACACAGACAUCAGAUCAGCUUCUCCCUUCCCAAAACUGCAGAUAAUGUUUAUGUCUUCAGGGAAGAUUAGCAGCAGCAAGUCCAGUCCAGGAGGCUGCAUCUAGCAUUGGGAAGGUCUGGUCAGAUACUUCCUGCAGCCCUGAGUUCCCAGUCUGCCCCAGGAGACCCACAGGCUUCCAGUAACAGCUCAUCCUGUAUCCAUGGACACUCGUGAUCCUCAGCUGCUCAUCAUCCCUGCAAACCUGAUCAUGCCUUUGGGCUGAGACACAGCACCUCUGCAGCCAGGGCAGUGCCACACAGACUGUGUCGCAGUCACAGAGACCUGGAGAAGCUGAGCACGGCAGGACAGGCAAUUACUUCAGGCAGCUUUCCAGCAGGAGAACUGGUGAAGCCAGCCCACUCACCUCAUCUUGGCCAAAUGACAGGUAAAUGUUGUCAGCCCACCUACCUCCAGGUACUUAGGCAACCCAGGGACCUCUGGACUUGCUGCUCCAUCUCUCCUUUACAGACAGGGAACAGAGAGACUGAACCAUUUGCAAGUGAACUGUUCAAGGUCUCUGUGCUCCAGCAC
Passer domesticus (house sparrow) is the source of this 851-nucleotide long non-coding RNA. RefSeq lists it as uncharacterized. Lineage: Eukaryota; Metazoa; Chordata; Aves; Passeriformes; Passeridae. The transcript is spliced from 3 exons. The record is from RefSeq and is a predicted model, not a curated record.